RNAcentral lists this small RNA (22 nucleotides) under Arabidopsis thaliana (thale cress). RNAcentral describes it as "ATSL049750". The record is from RNAcentral. Lineage: Eukaryota; Viridiplantae; Streptophyta; Magnoliopsida; Brassicales; Brassicaceae.
AUCAGAAGAAGCUGAAGCAAAC